Molecule: unclassified non-coding RNA, 763 nt
Filed under: Hevea brasiliensis (rubber tree)
Lineage: Eukaryota; Viridiplantae; Streptophyta; Magnoliopsida; Malpighiales; Euphorbiaceae
Source: RNAcentral
GCAGUUGUCGUCGGCUCUGGGGGCCAAUUCCCAUCGGGAAAGGGAUCCAAGGAGGAGAUCCAACUUUUCCUUGGUAAUGCUGGGACGGCGAUGCGGCCCUUGACUGCUGCUGUUACAGCUGCGGGUGGCAAUGCAAGUUAUGUGCUUGAUGGUGUGCCGCGAAUGAGGGAAAGGCCGAUAGGGGACUUGGUUUCUGGUUUAAAGCAGCUAGGUGCGGAUGUUGAUUGUUUUUUGGGGACCAAUUGCCCACCAGUUCGCGUUAAUGGAAGUGGUGGUCUUCCAGGGGGGAAGGUGAAACUGUCUGGAUCAAUCAGUAGUCAGUAUUUGACUGCAUUGCUCAUGGCAGCUCCCUUAGCUCGUGGAGAUGUGGAGAUUGAGAUAAUUGAUAAACUGAUCUCUGUCCCCUAUGUCGAGAUGACAUUGAAACUAAUGGAGCGCUUUGGUGUAACUGUGGAGCACUCCGGCAGCUGGGACAGGUUCUUGAUCAAGGGUGGCCAAAAAUACAAGUCCCCUGGAUCUGCCUAUGUUGAAGGCGAUGCAUCAAGUGCUAGCUACUUCCUAGCAGGCGCGGCAAUCACCGGUGGCACUGUCACUGUGGAAGGUUGCGGGACGAGCAGUCUGCAGGGUGACGUAAACUUUGCCCAAGUUCUUGAGAAAAUGGGAGCAAAGGUUACAUGGACAGAGAACAGUGUUACCGUCACGGGUCCGCAACAAGAUCCUUCAAAGAAGAACCGACUGCGAGCAGUUGAUGUCAACAUGAACA